Molecule: ribosomal RNA, 491 nt
Filed under: uncultured bacterium
Lineage: Bacteria
Description: partial 16S ribosomal RNA
Rfam family: Bacterial small subunit ribosomal RNA
Source: RNAcentral
AGUGAACGCUGGCGGUAGGCCUAACACAUGCAAGUCGAACGGCAGCACAGUAAGAGCUUGCUCUUACGGGUGGCGAGUGGCGGACGGGUGAGGAAUACAUCGGAAUCUACUUUUUCGUGGGGGAUAACGUAGGGAAACUUACGCUAAUACCGCAUACGACCUACGGGUGAAAGCAGGGGAUCUUCGGACCUUGCGCGAUUGAAUGAGCCGAGUCGGAUUAGCUAGUUGGCGGGGUAAAGGCCCACCAAGGCGACGAUCCGUAGCUGGUCUGAGAGGAUGAUCAGCCACACUGGAACUGACACACGGUCCAGACUCCUACGGGAGGCAGCAGUGGGGAAUAUUGGACAAUGGGCGCAAGCCUGAUCCAGCCAUACCGCGUGGGUGAAGAAGGCCUUCGGGUUGUAAAGCCCUUUUGUUGGGAAAGAAAAGCAGCAGGUUAAUACCCCGCUGUUCUGACGGUACCCAAAGAAUAAGCACCGGCUAACUUCGUG